This 497-nucleotide ribosomal RNA is filed under the name uncultured bacterium. RNAcentral describes it as "partial 16S ribosomal RNA". It matches the Rfam family "Bacterial small subunit ribosomal RNA", at positions 28 to 507 of the family's 1533-position model. The record is from RNAcentral.
GAUGAACGCUGGCGGCGUGCCUAAUACAUGCAAGUCGAGCGAACGGACGAGAAGCUUGCUUCUCUGAUGUUAGCGGCGGACGGGUGAGUAACACGUGGAUAACCUACCUAUAAGACUGGGAUAACUUCGGGAAACCGGAGCUAAUACCGGAUAAUAUUUUGAACCGCAUGGUUCAAAAGUGAAAGACGGUCUUGCUGUCACUUAUAGAUGGAUCCGCGCUGCAUUAGCUAGUUGGUAAGGUAACGGCUUACCAAGGCAACGAUGCAUAGCCGACCUGAGAGGGUGAUCGGCCACACUGGAACUGAGACACGGUCCAGACUCCUACGGGAGGCAGCAGUAGGGAAUCUUCCGCAAUGGGCGAAAGCCUGACGGAGCAACGCCGCGUGAGUGAUGAAGGUCUUCGGAUCGUAAAACUCUGGUACUAGGGAAGAACAUAUGUGUAAGUAACUGUGCACAUCUUGACGGUACCUAAUCAGAAAGCCACGGCUAACUACGUG